ACCAUCAUCGUCUAGUGGUUUAGGAUACCAGAUUUUCACUCUGGGGACCGGAGUUCGAACCUCCGUGAUGGUG
Non-coding RNA from Xylaria sp. FL1042, 73 nucleotides. The record is from the annotation of a GenBank genome assembly. NCBI's taxonomy places the organism in Eukaryota, Fungi, Ascomycota, Sordariomycetes, Xylariales, Xylariaceae.